Molecule: long non-coding RNA, 209 nt
Filed under: Brassica napus (rape)
Lineage: Eukaryota; Viridiplantae; Streptophyta; Magnoliopsida; Brassicales; Brassicaceae
Description: long non-coding RNA (BNAP_LNC018263)
Source: RNAcentral
UAAAUUGGGCUUUCUAGGUUCGGUAAGGAGCCCUAACGUGGCACCUUCUCGUUGGACCGCGCUGUCUCUCUCCUUCCUCGCGAGAAAACCGAAGAGAAGAGUUUGUUUCUCGACUUCUCCGUCUUCUCUCUAGGCGAGCUCCGCGACGUCUCCGCCGGCGUCUCUGAAUCGACUAGUGUCGUGUCUCUCUCGGCGUCCCUAUCUCGAAC